Brienomyrus brachyistius is the source of this 3416-nucleotide long non-coding RNA. RefSeq lists it as uncharacterized. Lineage: Eukaryota; Metazoa; Chordata; Actinopteri; Osteoglossiformes; Mormyridae. The transcript is spliced from 4 exons. The record is from RefSeq and is a predicted model, not a curated record.
AAAAAAACAAGAGCCGUAGGGGAGGCACGGAGAGACGGCAUCUUCAGCUCCAUCACGGCACAAAAGAAUUGAAACUGAAAGUUCACGUAUUGAUGCUGAACUUUGAAAAACAUGGGCAUGUAUUAUUCUUAUUAAAUUCAAACCUCUCACGUGGGUGGGUUUUCACUGCUGUGUUCCUAUUGGACAAUCAGUUUUUGAGUGACAGCUAAGUCCCUCGGGCGGUGAGUAGUAUAGUUUCGGCGGACAUCUUAAACCAGGGGACACCAACCUUUUUGAAACUGAGAGCUACUUCACGGUUACUGAGCCAUACGAAGGGCUACCAUAACAUACUUUACCUAAACUUAUCUAAACUUCAUGUAUAAUAGAAAUGUUUUAAAUGUUUUUUUUAUUAUUAUUUAUUGUCAUUUUCAAAUCCAUAUAAAUGCACAUGUGAUUAAAGAAGAAUAGCAACAGGAUAAAAAUAAAAUUUAGACCCUGCUUACUGGUGAGUUGUACUAUUCUUAGAACAGGUCCGUGGGCGACUCAUGUGGUCCUUGGGGGCAUCCUGGUACCAGUGGGCACCAUGCUGGUGACCCUUGUCCUAAACAGUGGGACUGGCCAUUUACUCGAUUCUUGCAAUAUUAAUGAAGUGUAAGUAUUGAUCAUAAAUGUUUUGUUUUGUUGAGGUAGGAGCGAUGCAGUUCAGGUCAUGCUGUACAGCCUACAGGAAGCAAAGACCUUCACCCGCCGUGUUGGUUGCAUUUCUCAUGUGGUCCAGCAAACCAGCCGCUAUGUAUGACAGAGGCAACAUUGACUGGCACCAACAGUUAACAUGGGACACAGCAGCGUGAAGAUUCUGCCAACAUCACAGGUGUCCAGAGAGGAACACAAAAAGAAACGGACACUCAAGACGAUGCCUUCAGCCAAAUGAAAGCCACCCAACUGCAGAUGCUUGUACUGAUAUCAUGGAGAUCUCACUGACAAAUGAAUUAGAUGUUCCUCCCCAUCCAACGUUUUCCCCAAGCGUCAAAUGCAGGACAAGUGUAGCUGAGGGGAAUCAUGAUCCUCAGAAUGGUACUGUACUGGAUCACAGUAUGAUGCUCUUCUUGUGUCAAAAUAUCAGUCACCUGGUGGACUCCCUGACUUACAAAUAAUCGUUUAAAUGUCUUUGCUGUUUCAAGGUCGUAGGAUGUAAUCUCCACUCCAGAUAAUCCUGAAACAAGGGUUGGAGGCCAAUAUGACUCUGUGUGAUUUGUUAGUCAAGGAAUCAUGCAUCAGGUUGAUGAUGUGUGAGCUAGGUAGUUUCGUUGAAACAAUAAACAGUUACAGAGGAGGGGACAAUGGGACAGUGCAAGACGAAGAAUGUGCAAUAUGGGGAGUGUAACAGUAAAUAUAUUCAGCAUGCAUAAGUUUGCGAAGGUCAAGCAAAGUGCAAAGACAACUGAUAAUACUGCGAACAAAUAUGUAAAUAGUACACACAAGUGUUUGAACUUCUCCAUCUUUCUUGGCAAGAAACCAGGUUCUUGUGGGAGUAAUGGAGGCUCUCUGAGAGAGCUUGAGCUAGUGAGUAAUCAUAACACAACAGCAAAUAAAUCCGCCUGCACUUUACCUAUAAAACACUGACUUAAGUGCAAUCAAACUUGAUUUCUUGUAAUAAGAACGAAAACUUCAUCAGCAUUGUAACAUUAAUAUUACAGCAACCAUACCAUUUUAUGACGAAAUUAAGAUAGCAAUAACAUGCAAUAAAAAAUUAUAAAUAAUAAGUCAGAUGUUUAUAUUUGUACUUACUCGUGAAUAUAUCAAAAUAUUUCGUCCACUAUUUUUCCUUUUCAGUUCUUGUAUCCAGCCAGAAACAAAGAAAUUAUGGGCCUUCAGGUUUUUUGGUCACUUAGUCGUUUGCUUAAGUCACCCAUGAUGAAUCAGGAUAUCCUCAUGACUUUAGUCUUUCACUUUCAAUGUGUAUGAGUCACAUCCAAUAAUUUCAGUUUUCUCUUUAUGUGUAUUGCUUGCAUCUAGCGGUAGCUGAUUCACAUACAGUACGCAGUAUUCAGCACCACUACGACUAAUAAAUGCACCAGGAUGGUGACUAGAGGCAGAGCAAGGUGAUGUUUCUCAAGCAAGAAAUCUUAGUAUUGAAAUUUGAAAUCCUUCCUUUUGUCACUUUCUGUAUGCUGUACCACGGUCCUGGAAGAAUGUUGUCUGGUGUUACCUUAGGCCUACUUGUAUAUAGCUGGAUUGGCAAUGGAAGUGAAACUUCAAUUCAAAAAUACAAAAUACACUUUCUUUAAAUGAAACAAGUAUGCAAUCAUAUAUAUAGUCAUUUUGUUUCUUAUGCAUUUUUUUGUCUUUAAAACACACUCGGGUCCUGGAAAUAGGAUGGAGACUUGGAAUCAUUCAGUGGUCCCAGUAUGGGCAGAAGCCCCUGAACAUGCCAGCUAAAAUUAUAUUACUACAUGUGGGGGUCCAGGGUGACAAGGGGGACAAAUGUAAGACAAUAUCAACAGGCAGUUGUGUGCAAUUUGUCUGAAAUCUAAAAAAAAAAAAAAACAAUUGAAAUGUAUUUAAGAGGAAGGAUGGUGCACAGUAAAUGUAUAUAAUUUAACAAUGGAUGCCAAUGAAUAUAGGAAGGACUUACUACUGUUUUGUUUUGUUUUUUGUUUUUUUUGCCAGUUACUGUUCCGGAUUGUUGUAUAUGCUGUGUAUGUAGGCAUAUUUACCAGCUUGCUUAACCUCACUUUAAAAUGAGCUGCAUUUUCCUUCCAACAUUUUCCUCUUGGUGGUGGUAAAGUACAGAUAGACAGAGAACCUGUGAAAGGUUUCUCAAAUAGAAAAUGUGCAGCAGAGGGAUGAAAUCCUCCCAAAGACUUUUUUUUUCAUAGUAAUCCUUAAUAAAUGUGAUUCAGAAAGUACAGUAUAGCCCACACAAGAUGAUCUGACAUUAAGAUAGUGUUUUACUUGUAAUUAUAUGUGCUUUGCAGGGCCUCAAUUAGCCUCGGUUUCAAUGGUAACAUCAGGCUGUGUGUAGACUGUCCAAACAUUCCCUGCUCAUUACCCUGCAUUGUACAGAGGCAAACCCUAACCCUCUCCCUUACAGCACCGACACAGGGCUUGUUCCUUCCAGACAGAGUGAAUGUUUUUUAAAAAGAAAAAUCUGAUGGCUUAUUUUGAUUAUCAAAACACUGCCCACUCGUCAAGCUAUAAGAAGCUUUUUUUUUUUAUUUAAAAUGUCACUUUCUGAUUAAGUUUCAUCACAACAGUGUAUGGGCUUAGAACAACUGGGCUCUUCUGUGUUUACUGUGAUAAUUACUGAUCUUGUCAAGAGGAGUGUCUAUCUUUUGAAGAAUGAGUACUGAGGUAACAAUGCGAAAGCUCUCCUUUGUGAGGGAUCUUUAAAACUUUCAUCAAAUAAAUAAAUAAAUCACUGUUUAUCACUUAAA